This 925-nucleotide ribosomal RNA is filed under the name Kocuria marina. RNAcentral describes it as "bacterial SSU rRNA". It matches the Rfam family "Bacterial small subunit ribosomal RNA", at positions 402 to 1335 of the family's 1533-position model. Lineage: Bacteria; Bacillati; Actinomycetota; Actinomycetes; Micrococcales; Micrococcaceae. The record is from RNAcentral.
UGAGGGAUGACGGCCUUCGGGUUGUAAACCUCUUUCAGCACGGAAGAAGCGAAAGUGACGGUACGUGCAGAAGAAGCGCCGGCUAACUACGUGCCAGCAGCCGCGGUAAUACGUAGGGCGCAAGCGUUGUCCGGAAUUAUUGGGCGUAAAGAGCUCGUAAGCGGUUUGUCGCGUCUGCUGUGAAAGCCCGGGGCUUAACCCCGGGUGUGCAGUGGGUACGGGCAGACUUGAGUGCAGUAGGGGAGACUGGAACUCCUGGUGUAGCGGUGAAAUGCGCAGAUAUCAGGAAGAACACCGAUGGCGAAAGCAGGUCUCUGGGCUGUUACUGACGCUGAGGAGCGAAAGCAUGGGGAGCGAACAGGAUUAGAUACCCUGGUAGUCCAUGCCGUAAACGUUGGGCACUAGGUGUGGGGGACAUUCCACGUUUUCCGCGCCGUAGCUAACGCAUUAAGUGCCCCGCCUGGGGAGUACGGCCGCAAGGCUAAAACUCAAAGGAAUUGACGGGGGCCCGCACAAGCGGCGGAGCAUGCGGAUUAAUUCGAUGCAACGCGAAGAACCUUACCAAGGCUUGACAUACACCGGAUCGGCUCAGAGAUGAGUUUUCCUCCUUGUGGGGCUGGUGUACAGGUGGUGCAUGGUUGUCGUCAGCUCGUGUCGUGAGAUGUUGGGUUAAGUCCCGCAACGAGCGCAACCCUCGUUCUAUGUUGCCAGCACGUGAUGGUGGGGACUCAUAGGAGACUGCCGGGGUCAACUCGGAGGAAGGUGGGGAUGACGUCAAAUCAUCAUGCCCCUUAUGUCUUGGGCUUCACGCAUGCUACAAUGGCCAGUACAAUGGGUUGCGAUACCGUGAGGUGGAGCUAAUCCCAAAAAGCUGGUCUCAGUUCGGAUCGUGGUCUGCAACUCGACCACGUGAAGUCGGAGUCGC